GAUGAACGCUGGCGGCGUGCCUAAUACAUGCAAGUCGAGCGAACAGACGAGGAUCUUGCUCCUCUGACGUUAGCGGCGGACGGGUGAGUAACACGUGGAUAACCUACCUAUAAGACUGUGAUAACUUCGGGAAACCGGAGCUAAUACCGGAUAAUAUAUUGAACCGCAUGGUUCAAUAGUGAAAGACGGUUUUGCUGUCACUUAUAGAUGGAUCCGCGCCGCAUUAGCUAGUUGGUAAGGUAACGGCUUACCAAGGCGACGAUGCGUAGCCGACCUGAGAGGGUGAUAGGCCACACUGGAACUGAGCCACGGUCCAGACUCCUACGGGAGGCAGCAGUAGGGAAUCUUCCGCAAUGGGCGAAAGCCUGACGGAGCCACGCCGCGUGAGUGAUGAAGGUCUUCGGAUCUUAAAACUCUGUUAUUAGGGAAGAACAAAUGUGUAAGUAACUAUGCACGUCUUGACGGUACCUAAUCAGAAAGCCACGGCUAACUACGUG
RNAcentral lists this ribosomal RNA (497 nucleotides) under uncultured bacterium. RNAcentral's name for it is "partial 16S ribosomal RNA". It matches the Rfam family "Bacterial small subunit ribosomal RNA", at positions 28 to 507 of the family's 1533-position model. The record is from RNAcentral.